CUCAGUACGGCGAGUGAAGCGGCAAAGCUCAAUUUGAAUCCUGCGUUUAUUGUAAUUUGAAGGUUUCGUGGUCUGAGUCGGCCGCGCCCAAGUCCAUUGGAACAUGGCGCCUGGGAGGGUGAGAGCCCCGUAUGGCGCACGCCGACUCUUUGCACCGCGGCUCCGACGAGUCGAGUUGUUUGGGAAUGCAGCUCUAAGUGGGUGGUAAAUUCCAUCUAAAGCUAAAUAUUGGCGAGAGACCGAUAGCGAACAAGUACAGUGAUGGAAAGAUGAAAAGCACUUUGAAAAGAGAGUGAAACAGCACGUGAAAUUGUUGAAAGGGAAGGGCUUGCGAGCAGACACGGUUUUACCGGG
RNAcentral lists this ribosomal RNA (354 nucleotides) under Clavispora lusitaniae. RNAcentral's name for it is "eukaryotic LSU rRNA". It matches the Rfam family "Eukaryotic large subunit ribosomal RNA", at positions 79 to 448 of the family's 3401-position model. Lineage: Eukaryota; Fungi; Ascomycota; Pichiomycetes; Serinales; Metschnikowiaceae. The record is from RNAcentral.